GACGAACGCUGGCGGCGUGCUUAACACAUGCAAGUCGAACGGAAAGGCCCUGCUUGCAGGGUACUCGAGUGGCGAACGGGUGAGUAACACGUGGGUGAUCUGCCCUGCACUUCGGGAUAAGCCUGGGAAACUGGGUCUAAUACCGGAUAUGACCUUCCAUGUAGUGUGGGGGGUGGAAAGAUUUAUCGGUGUGGGAUGAGCCCGCGGCCUAUCAGCUUGUUGGUGGGGUAAUGGCCUACCAAGGCGUCGACGGGUAGCCGGCCUGAGAGGGUGGACGGCCACAUUGGGACUGAGAUACGGCCCAGACUCCUACGGGAGGCAGCAGUGGGGAAUAUUGCACAAUGGGCGGAAGCCUUAUGCAGCGACGCCGCGUGGGGGAUGACGGCCUUCGGGUUGUAAACCUCCUUCGACAGGGACGAAGCUUCGGUGACGGUACCUGUAGAAGAAGCACCGGCUAACUACGUG
Molecule: ribosomal RNA, 465 nt
Filed under: uncultured bacterium
Lineage: Bacteria
Description: partial 16S ribosomal RNA
Rfam family: Bacterial small subunit ribosomal RNA
Source: RNAcentral